Molecule: long non-coding RNA, 310 nt
Filed under: Musa acuminata (dwarf banana)
Lineage: Eukaryota; Viridiplantae; Streptophyta; Magnoliopsida; Zingiberales; Musaceae
Description: long non-coding RNA (MACU_LNC006631)
Source: RNAcentral
CCUGAUCCAUGGAAGCUUUUGAGAGCUUUCUGUCUUGAUGGGGAGUAUGCUGUUGGCUUGGACUUUGACUGGGCGGAGCAACCCAAACCGUCUGCUGCUCUGCUACCGCUGCUCCAUUCUGCAGUGACGAAUGGUCUUCGGAGAGUAAACCAGCAGAUGAAGACAAGUAAAACGGAGAUCACGUGGAAGAUGUAGUCUCGCAUGACCUGAUUUCAGUACAGUGUCACCUCAACAGAGUGUGAGAUGAUGUACGUAGUCAGUCUUACGUGGUCUGACUGAACCCACUCGUAUUGCGGGUCGGAUCGGACAU